GGGCCACCAAAUGAAAUUACAAAAAUUAAACAGGAUUCCUAAAUUGGUUGGACAAACCCAAACUCAGGCAACUGGACCAGCCAAGGUUGUUACGCUGGGUCCUGCAGGGGUGACUCUGGAUCGGUCAGGCAUGUGAGCACUUCCGGGCGGAUGCGGGUCAUUUGAUUCAAUGGAGCUUUUGUAGAGUAGAUAAGAAGGACAGUCACACAGGAAGAGUCAGGGAGAAGGAUGGUGGACACAUUGAAGCAGAACUCUCAGGCAGCCACCCCUCCUCUACACAGCAGAGCCGGAUGGCGUCCCAGUCCGCUGCGUCGUAGGUAAUGUAGUCCUUGGCUCCUCCGCCCAUCCUUCG
Molecule: long non-coding RNA, 352 nt
Organism: Misgurnus anguillicaudatus (oriental weatherfish)
Lineage: Eukaryota; Metazoa; Chordata; Actinopteri; Cypriniformes; Cobitidae
Source: RefSeq, a predicted model, not a curated record